UCUUCUUCUUCUUCUUCUAUGCUGAGACCUGUGUAAACCCAUCAAGACAAUGUUGAUCCUGGACCACUUGAACACUAACCAAGGCUUUCCCGAGCAGAGAACAUGUUGCAGCCAUUGCUGGGCUGGUCCAAUUGCCAAUCCCUGAGGCAGCUGCCAGGUAGGUUCUCAUCCAUCAUUCUACUUCCUAGCACAUUAUACUCCUAAAAUUAAUUUUAUUGGUCUAAUAGGACACAGAGGGACACUGGAGUUUUUCCUGAGCCUCAUUUCCAAAAUUAAAUAGUGCAGCACAGUACAUUAGGAGUCGGGGGGAAGGCUCUGUUUAGUCAGUACCUAUUAAGAAUGAAAAGUCCCAGCUUGCUAUCAAGCUGAAGCAUCAAAACACCAUCCUAAUUACAGUGAUUUAAGUGAAUCUGUCCUUGGGGUGAAGUUUCAAUGUUCUAGCCCAAUCUGCAGGCCACUUAAGCUGAAGUACUUGGACCUAAGCCAGUUUGGUCCUGUUGACUUAGAUGAAAUGAAAUUGGCUUAAGUCCAAGUACUUUUUUGACUUAAAUGGGUUACGGGUUGGGUUGCGAGGUGGGCAUGUUUCAUUGCAGUAGGGAGCCAGUAGUCAGAUUAAGAGAUUCUUGAUGGAACGAGGCAUUUGAAGCAGUGCCUGUAAAUGGGACACUAAUGGCAUUUACACAGGAAGGGAAAUAUUGGGAGAUGUGGGCAAAUUCCAGUGAAUCAGAGCAUGAAUCUAAAGAGAAAGAAGUAGAAGAAGGAAGAUCCUGGGAAUUCUCCUAAGAAAACUGAAUAAACAAAAUGCAGAAAGUGUUGGGUCUAGAAUUACACUUGUUGUUGUUUAGUCGUUUAGUCGUGUCCGACUCUUCGUGACCCCAUGGACCAGAGCACGCCAGGCACUCCUGUCUUCCACUGCCUCCCGCAGUUUGGUCAAACUCAUGCUGGUAGCUUCGAGAACACUGUCCAACCAUCUCAUCCUCUGUCGUCCCCUUCUCCUUGUGCCCUCCAUCUUUCCCAACAUCAGGGUCUUUUCCAGGGAGUCUUCUCUUCUCAUGAGGUGGCCAAAGUAUUGGAGCCUCAGCUUCAUGAUCUGUCCUUCCAGUGAAUACUCAGGGCUGAUUUCCUUAAGGAUGGAUAGGUUUGAUCUUCUUGCAGUCCAUGGGACUCUCAAGAGUCUCCUCCAGCACCAUAAUUCAAAAGCAUCAAUUCUUUGGUGAUCAGCCUUCUUUAUGGUCCAGCUCUCACUUCCAUACAUCACUACUGGGAAAACCAUAGCUUUAACUAUAUGGACCUUUGUUGGCAAGGUGAUGUCUCUACUUUUUAAGAUGCUGUCUAGGUUUGACAUUGCUUUUCUCCCAAGAAGCAGGCGUCUUUUAAUUUCGUGGCUGCUGUCACCAUCUGCAGUGAUCAAGGAGCCCAAGAAAGUAAAAUCUCUCACUGCCUCCAUUUCUUCCCCUUCUAUUUGCCAGGAGGUGAUGGGACCAGUGGCCAUGAUCUUCGUUUUUUUGAUGUUGAGCUUCAGACCAUAUUUUGCGCUCUCCUCUUUCACCCUCAAUAAAAGGUUCUUAAUUCCUCUUCGCUUUCUGCCAUCAAGGUUGUGACAUCUGCAUAUCUGAGGUUGUUGAUAGUUGGGAUUCAUCCAGCCCAGCCUUUCGCAUGAUGAAUUCUGCAUAUGUUAAAUAAGCAGGGAGACAAUAUACAGCCUUGUCGUACUCCUUUCCCAAUUUUGAACCAAUCAGUUGUUCCAUAUCCAGUUCUAACUGUAGCUUCUUGUCCCACAUAGAGAUUUCUCAGGAGACAGAUGAGGUGAUCAGGCGCUCCCAUUUCUUUAAGAACUUGCCAUAGUUUGCUGUGGUCGACACUGUCAAAUUACACUACUUAACUGUUAAAAAACAUCAGAAGCCCUGCUUUGUGCAGAAUGUGAAACCGGCAUAGAAGUUGUGAUUUGGCUCCGUAUGUGUAUUUAACUUGAGUUGUGAUCUUCUAGUUGCAGAAAGACAGAAACUUCCGGUAAAAUAGAGAAAUAGUUACUGUACCUUUCCGUGUAUAAGAUUUUUUUUCCCCUUUAAAAAUCAUGCUCAGAAGUGGGGGUCCUCUUAUACAUGGGUAGUGCAUAGGGUAGACAUUUAAUUGGUUGCUGCUGAGAAUGUCAGCGGCUAUUGUGUGUGUUAUUGGUUGCUGCAUCAAUGGGUGUUGUUUUUCUGACGCUCCAGCAGGCGGGCGAUUGGCAGCUUCUGCCGGUGAUGGGACAGACGGGAGGCUGAUAUAGCGACGCAUGGGGGGUGAGCAAUUUUCGGCACCCCCCCAACAACUCUAUGCCAUCUCCCCACAUUUUCUUAAAUUUGAGUCCCCCAAAAGAGGGGGUAUCUUAUACAUGGGGGUGUCUUAUAGGCAGAAAAGUACGGUAAUUUAUAAUUAUGUUUUCAUGAAAAAUGGGUGCAGGAAAAAUCAUCUGCUGAUGAGGAAUGAUCCCAGUGUCUGUGAAACAGCACUAAAAUUUUUAGGCAACAGUUGACAACACAAUUGCACCGGAAGUCAGGUUCCUAGACCUUGGAUAGCAUCUCCGAGGUCUGGCGAAGGCUCAGAGAUGCUGUCUGAGGUCUUGCAAGGCUUCGGAACCUGAGUUCCAGUGUCACAGCAACUCUGAAGUCUUGCAAGGCCUCGGACAUGACUCUGCUUUGCAGAAGUUGCAUCAGGGGCUCUAUGGUGUGGGUGCUGAGCACCCACCACAAAAUUGUGGGUGCUUGGGCCCCCAGGGCCUCCAAUAGUUGCCGCCCCUGGUUAGCAGGGGGUAUUUUUUGAACCGGAACUCAGUUCCAGCACCUCUCAGGUGGGCACCAUUGGCAUUAUAAGAAAAGAAGGGAGGUGUUUCAUGUUGAGUUCCAGCACCUCUUUUUCUAGAAAAAUAGUGUCUGUAUCUAGCCUGGGCUUACUAUGAAAAUGACUGAUGGAUGAAAAUCAUUUAGAUAAAGCUGGGCAUAUGCAAAAUAGUCAGGGUUUUGGCUGCUAUAUGCACAUUUAUCUAAGUGCAGGCUGAAUAAAGCAUGGAAUCAUCCAGUCAGUAUCCUGGCGGCGUGUGUUUGUGUAACAGCCAUUUCUAAUAACUUACUCUGCAUGUGUCAGACACACUGCUAAUCCUAGUAAUGUGUUUUCUGUGCACCAGUUCCUAAUGGGACAUAUGUAAAUUAGUAUGCAGAGGAGGAAAGAUGAGUCACAGUUUGAACAGCAAAUGGGCUCCUCUACUUCCAGACACGACUGCUGUCAUUUGUGCCAAAGCAAGACGCUCUCCUUCUGUACAUUGAGUGAUUCAGUUUACACUUUGCUAGCUAAGUGCUCUCUGACUCAUGGACACAGAUCUCAUGAAUCUGAGCUUCAGGAUGUAUCUUACAGGCAUUAGUAUAACCAGUAUAAAAAGCAAAGGUAUCUAUAUCAGUUCAUUAGAACAAUGUCCAAAUCCACAGCUGUGAGAUGCAUUUAUUAUGAGCAACCAAACCCUCACAAAAGUAUAAGCAGGCUUUUGAGUUCUCUAGAAACACAUUAUCAGGUUGGAUAUUAUGCCGAACAGGGAGUGGGGGGAAGAGGGAAAUGAAACAAAAAAGAAAGAACAGAACUAUGUCCUGAAGUUGUAGCCAUAAUGCUAACACUGAGUAAAUUGGAAAAAAAUGUAUAAAUCUAAAUCAAAUAAGUGUUGGAAAUGUAAAGAGAAAGAAGGUUCUUUUUAUCAUAUGUGAUGGUCUUGCAGUAAGGUUAAAACUUACUGGAAAAUGAUAUAUAAUGAACUGAAAAGGAUGUUUAAAAUAACAUUUGUAAAAAAAACCCAGAAGCUUCUUUUUGGGAAUUACAGGGACAGAACUACCUAAACUGUAUAGAAACUUAUUCACGUCUGCUACUACAGGGGCAAGAAUGUUACUUGCCCCAAAAUGGAAAGAAGCAAAGAAGGGCCGAUGGAAGAAGAUUGGAAAAAAUUUAAAAUAUAUCUUCAGAAAUACUGUAAUAUAAAAGAAUGUUAGAAAAGGUUGGAGAAGAAUAUUAGACCGUAUUGGCAGACAGAGUAUAAUGGAAUAAGUAAAUAUGAAGUGUAAAAUAAAGAUAGAGGAGAAUUAAAUACUUUUGAAUGUUAAAAUAAGUAAAUGAAAAGAAGGUUAGAAGGAUUUGCUGGAGAUACGAUCCAAACUAGAAUACAAAGCAGAGAGGUGAGAGGAAGUCACGGAAAUAAGUAAAUGGGAAAACGGUUUUAAAGAUUUAAUUUGAUUUUUUGUUACCCUUUUAUGGUGAUUUUUUGUCUUUUGUAUUUUUCUUUUGUAUUGUUUGUUUUUUGUAUAAGAUGUAUGUGAUUUGUUUUUCUUUUUCUACUUUUUUCUUUCUCUGUAACUUUCAAAAUUGGAAUAAAUAUUUUUAAAAAAAAAAAAUGGAAAGAAGCAGAAGUCCCAGCAAAGGAAGAAUGGACACAAAAACCUACAGAAUAAGCAGAAAUGGCAAAACAUACUGGAAGAAUAAGAAAUCAUGAUAACAAGCUUUCUAUAAACGAAUGGAAAUGAUUUAUUGAAUAUUUACAGAUAAAUUGUAAACAGGUAAGAACAUUGGCAGGAUUGUUGUAAUGACCUGCAGUUUCAUAAGAGUAUAUAUUUAAAGCAGAUGAAUAAAUUAACAAUUUGGGUUAAUUUGGAUAUGCAGAAGAUAUUAAGAAUAAAUUUAAGGAACUGCAGAAAGGGGGGGAAAGAAGACAAGUUCUGAAAUGUUAAAGUGAUUGUGAAAUUAGUGAAAUAUAUAAAUUUGGAAAGCAUAAAUAAAAUUUUAAAAAAGAAAAAAAAUGACGCUGUAGCCAGAAUUUAAAUAUUUCAGUAGUAACAGAGGCAGAUGCACUGAAUUGAUCCCAACAUGCUGCAUGUGCACAACAUCACACAUGUUGCCCCACCAACCCUGGCCAGGCCAACUAGGACCUUCACCCCCACCCCACAACCACCUUACCUUCGUGAAAAGGAUGCACCAGGGCAAAGACGCUUCGUCCUGGCGCGUCCCUGGCAGAGAUUGCCAGAGUGCUCUUCUGGAAGGUGCCCUUGUGAUCUUCGAGGGGACUGCUGCAGGACUGGGGUGGGGGGACACUGGUCCUCACCCUGAAAAUAUUUUUGGGGGGCCUCGCUCCCCCGUCCCUCCCUAGAUGGCACCCCUGAACUGAAGUUACUUUCAGGACAGAGACUGCUGGCUGGACUGGAUUAAUCUCUGUUAGAUGCUGACUACAUGAAACAUACAAAGAAGAUAAUAAGAAAGGAUUUAGCUACACGAUAUCUAGAUUUCAAAGGGAAGUGAUACAAGGGAAAGUAAAGCUGUUGAAAGGUGCAUAUAGUAUUCUGUUAGAAUGGGAGACGAAAGACGAAGAGGUGAAAUCAGUUAUGAUUAAAUGGACACAAGAUAUAGGUCAUAAUAUUAUGUUGGAAGAUUGGGAAAGGUUAUGGGAAAUUGAUUUAAAAUUUACAGAUUGUUCCUUGUUGAAAGAAAAUUAUAUGAAGAUGAGGUAUAGAUGGUAUAUAACACCAGUGCAGCUAGGAAGAAUGUAUAAAACCAGUUCAGAUAUGUGUUGGAAGUGUAAAGAAAAGGAAGGGACCUUUUACCGUAUGUGGUGGGAUUGUAAUGAAAUUAAAAAGUUUUGGGAAAUGAUAUACAGUGAACUGAAGAAAAUGUUCCAUCUAACAUUUGUUUAAAAACCUGAAGCAUUUUUGUUAGGGAUUGUAGGGAAAGACCUGUCAAGGAAAUUGAAAAAUAUCUUCAUGUAUGUGACAACGGCGGCAAGAGUCUUAAUAGCACAAGGAUGGAAGAACGAGGAAAUCCUGACUAAAGAACUAUGGCAAGAGAAACUGAUGGACUACUCAGAAUUGGCAAAAUUGACACAUAAACUACGUGACAAGGAUAGCUGUGACUUUAAAGAUGAAUGGGAACCUUUUACAAAGUACUUAAAGAAACAACGAAAUGAACUGGACUCCUUGGCAGGUUUUGAAUAAACAUCCACAAACUUUUUAUUGUUAGCAGCUAGUUAGAUAAAUUAAGGAUCUAUACAAUUUUGUAAUAUACAGAGACUAACAUUUGUUGAUAAACCAGAGAGAGGAACUGAAGGAAGUUGGAGGGG
Non-coding RNA from Podarcis lilfordi (Lilford's wall lizard), 6121 nucleotides. The record is from the annotation of a GenBank genome assembly. Lineage: Eukaryota; Metazoa; Chordata; Lepidosauria; Squamata; Lacertidae.